UACGGAGGGGGCUAGCGUUAUUCGGAAUUACUGGGCGUAAAGCGCACGUAGGCGGCUUUGUAAGUUAGAGGUGAAAGCCUGGAGCUUAACUCCAGAAUUGCCUUUAAGACUGCAUCGCUUGAAUCCAGGAGAGGUGAGUGGAAUUCCGAGUGUAGAGGUGAAAUUCGUAGAUAUUCGGAAGAACACCAGUGGCGAAGGCGGCUCACUGGACUGGUAUUGACGCUGAGGUGCGAAAGCGUGGGGAGCAAACAGG
This 253-nucleotide ribosomal RNA is filed under the name uncultured bacterium. RNAcentral's name for it is "partial 16S ribosomal RNA". It matches the Rfam family "Bacterial small subunit ribosomal RNA", at positions 524 to 776 of the family's 1533-position model. The record is from RNAcentral.